This 301-nucleotide ribosomal RNA is filed under the name uncultured bacterium. RNAcentral's name for it is "partial 16S ribosomal RNA". It matches the Rfam family "Bacterial small subunit ribosomal RNA", at positions 509 to 807 of the family's 1533-position model. The record is from RNAcentral.
CAGUCGCCGCGGGAAUACGGAGGGGGCUAGCGUUGUUCGGAAUUACUGGGCGUAAAGCGCACGUAGGCGGCUUGGUAAGUUAGAGGUGAAAGCCCGGGGCUCAACCCCGGAAUUGCCUUUAAGACUGCCGAGCUAGCAGGUGAGAGAGGUGAGUGGAAUUCCGAGUGUAGAGGUGAAAUUCGUAGAUAUUCGGAAGAACACCAGUGGCGAAGGCGGCUCACUGGCUCAUACUGGACGCUGAGGUGCGAAAGCGUGGGGAGCAAACAGGAUUAGAUACCCGUGUAGUCCCUGUCUCUUAUAC